RNAcentral lists this ribosomal RNA (253 nucleotides) under uncultured bacterium. RNAcentral describes it as "partial 16S ribosomal RNA". It matches the Rfam family "Bacterial small subunit ribosomal RNA", at positions 524 to 776 of the family's 1533-position model. The record is from RNAcentral.
UACGUAGGGUCCGAGCGUUGUCCGGAAUUAUUGGGCGUAAAGAGCUCGUAGGCGGUUUGUCGCGUCUGCUGUGAAAUCCCGAGGCUCAACCUCGGGCCUGCAGUGGGUACGGGCAGACUGGAGUGCGGUAGGGGAGAAUGGAAUUCCUGGUGUAGCGGUGGAAUGCGCAGAUAUCAAGAGGAACACCGAUGGCGAAGGCAGUUCUCUGGGCCGAUACUGACGCUGAGGAGCGAAAGCGUGGGGAGCGAACAGG